GCAGUGGUGGUUCAGUGGUAGGAUUCUUGCUUUCUGUGCAGGAGACCUGGGUUUGAGUCCCAGCCCGUGCA
This 71-nucleotide transfer RNA is filed under the name Loxodonta africana (African savanna elephant). It matches the Rfam family "tRNA". From Rfam's summary of the family: Transfer RNA (tRNA) molecules are approximately 80 nucleotides in length. Their secondary structure includes four short double-helical elements and three loops (D, anti-codon, and T loops). Lineage: Eukaryota; Metazoa; Chordata; Mammalia; Proboscidea; Elephantidae. The record is from Rfam by way of RNAcentral.